UUAAAAAGGAACGACAAUUUUGUAAAGAACAAAGCAAGAAUACGGGGUAGGUCAUUGAAAAUAAUGGGCCAAGCCAAAUAACUUUAUUUUACCCUAACAUUUAAAUCACAGUAUAAAACUAAAUUUACCUAAACCCUAAUUCAUUACUUUCUACCCACCGGCGACCACUCUCUCACUCCCUCACCGACUCCCUCAAACACUCUCUCUCUAAACAACUAAACGGUUCCUUUCUUCCUCACUCAUCAGUUCAUCUCAUCCUCUGCUAGACGGUUCAUUUUUCGUUCCUCUUCAUUCACUUGGAUCCGUCGUAAAUUUGAGGGUGAAUGUAGAAGGUGAUGAGAUUCCAUUGACAAAGUUGCCUCCGGUUGAGGCUCACCAGCCAUCCUCCUCCAACAAUUUAUAAUGUUCUUGUUUUAAAUUCAAGUUGUAAUUUGUGCCUUUGAGGCAACCUAAUUUGGUCUGUAAAACUAUUAAUACUUUGUGCAAACCUAUUAGGGUGUGCUAACUUUAAUGGCACCUUUAACUCAA
Spinacia oleracea (spinach) is the source of this 528-nucleotide long non-coding RNA. RefSeq lists it as uncharacterized. The record is from RefSeq and is a predicted model, not a curated record. The transcript is spliced from 2 exons. NCBI's taxonomy places the organism in Eukaryota, Viridiplantae, Streptophyta, Magnoliopsida, Caryophyllales, Amaranthaceae.